GGCUCUCUACGAGGCGGCAUAGUUCUGACAGAAGACACCACAAUGAUUAGAUCAUUCACAAGAUAUACAGGACUGCUAAACCAACGCUCUGAUACCAAACUAACACACCCCGACCAAAGAUCAAGGCGUGCUGGGCGUCACGUGAGGAUGACGUAGCCAUGUGCACAGUGCGGAAGUAAUAAAGAUAAGAAAUAUACGAAUAAAUAAAAACCAAAAGCUACUAAUAUGCACUAAUAAGCAGAAAGUGCUAGGAGUGAGAUACAAGAGUAAAUACUCCUAAUCAGAGCAUAUAGAGUCUAUGUGCAGUCCAGUAGGACAAGUACUAGUUAUACAGUACUAGAAGAUAUCAUACGAA
Molecule: long non-coding RNA, 355 nt
Filed under: Malus domestica (apple)
Lineage: Eukaryota; Viridiplantae; Streptophyta; Magnoliopsida; Rosales; Rosaceae
Description: long non-coding RNA (MDOM_LNC012615)
Source: RNAcentral